This 468-nucleotide long non-coding RNA is filed under the name Ursus maritimus (polar bear). RNAcentral describes it as "lncRNA (ENSUMAG00000007029.1)". The stretch from base 53 to 328 matches the Rfam family "SOX2 overlapping transcript exon 3". Rfam says of the family: SOX2 overlapping transcript (SOX2OT) is a long non-coding RNA, containing at least 5 exons. The SOX2 gene, an important regulator of neurogenesis, lies within one of the introns of SOX2OT. Lineage: Eukaryota; Metazoa; Chordata; Mammalia; Carnivora; Ursidae. The record is from RNAcentral.
CAGCCCAUACCUGAAGAGUCCGCAGCUGAAAGGCACAAAGAGGGGAUUGCAGUGGCAAAGCUAGGCUAGGUCUUGGAGGCUGGUGUAAGGCGAGGCGGGUGAAGGCAGGAGGCUGAUGGAGAGACUGGGGGGAAGAAAAGCCGAAAUGGAUUCACGGUGCCUUGGAUGGAGGACGAGAGGGGAAUUGCAAGCUCCUUCAACUCGUUCUGUCCGGUGAGAAGUGAUCAAGCUUGGGCUGACAAGAGGCUCAGGAAGCCCUCACGUUCUUUCGCUUUUUUACCUGCCAAUCAAACCGCUACAAGACAACACCCUGAUCUGGCAUGGACAUGUAAAAGCAAAACUGUAGUUAUGGACAAGCGAAUUCACCAGUAGGGGGCGCACCGGCUACAUCCCUGAGACCAGACGCGCUGAAAAGCCUGUGGCUGCUGUGUUGUCCUCUGAGCCUCUAACCUUUUCUCUUUCCUAAUC